Molecule: non-coding RNA, 256 nt
Organism: Pelobates cultripes (western spadefoot toad)
Lineage: Eukaryota; Metazoa; Chordata; Amphibia; Anura; Pelobatidae
Source: the annotation of a GenBank genome assembly
UCCUUAACCCCCUUAACCCUGUUGCACUCACCCUGCCACAGUUACCCCUUUACUCACCUUGUCACAAAUUGAAGACAUUCAUCAUACACACAUGCACAAAGGUCACAGGCAGCCCUAAUAAACACCACACACCGCAAGCAGCUACCCCACACACAUACUAUCACAGACACAUACGCAUAAAGACAUACAUUCACAAACAAGGAUACUAUCGGUCAGAGAGUACUUUUUAUGCACAUACACAGGUAGACAAUGCCAG